Molecule: ribosomal RNA, 468 nt
Filed under: uncultured bacterium
Lineage: Bacteria
Description: partial 16S ribosomal RNA
Rfam family: Bacterial small subunit ribosomal RNA
Source: RNAcentral
GACGAACGCUGGCGGCGUGCUUAACACAUGCAAGUCGAACGGAAAGGCCCUGCUUUUGUGGGGUGCUCGAGUGGCGAACGGGUGAGUAACACGUGAGUAACCUGCCCUUGACUUUGGGAUAACUUCAGGAAACUGGGGCUAAUACCGGAUAGGAGCUCCUGCUGCAUGGUGGGGGUUGGAAAGUUUCGGUGGUUGGGGAUGGACUCGCGGCUUAUCAGCUUGUUGGUGGGGUAGUGGCUUACCAAGGCUUUGACGGGUCGCCGGACUGAGAGGGUGAACGGCCACAUUGGGACUGAGAUACGGGCCAGACUCCAACGGGAGGCAGCAGUGGGGAAUAUUGCAAAAUGGGCGGAAGCCAGAUGCAGCAACGCCGCGUGCGGGAUGACGGCCUUCGGGUUGUAAACCGCUUUCGCCUGUGACGAAGCGUGAGUGACGGUAAUGGGUAAAGAAGCACCGGCUAACUACGUG